UACGUAUGGGGCAAGCGUUGUCCGGAUUUACUGGGUGUAAAGGGAGCGCAGGCGGCCUGGCAAGCCUGAUGUGAAAUACCGGGGCCCAACCCCGGGGCUGCAUUGGGAACUGCCAGGCUGGAGUGCCGGAGAGGCAGGCGGAAUUCCUAGUGUAGCGGUGAAAUGCGUAGAUAUUAGGAGGAACACCAGUGGCGAAGGCGGCCUGCUGGACGGUGACUGACGCUGAGGCUCGAAGGCGUGGGGAGCAAACAGG
This 253-nucleotide ribosomal RNA is filed under the name uncultured bacterium. RNAcentral describes it as "partial 16S ribosomal RNA". It matches the Rfam family "Bacterial small subunit ribosomal RNA", at positions 524 to 776 of the family's 1533-position model. The record is from RNAcentral.